GACGAACGCUGGCGGCGUGCUUAACACAUGCAAGUCGAACGGAAAGGCCCUGCUUUUGUGGGGUGCUCGAGUGGCGAACGGGUGAGUAACACGUGAGUAACCUGCCCUUGACUUUGGGAUAACUUCAGGAAACUGGGGCUAAUACCGGAUAGGAGCUCCUGCUGCAUGGUGGGGGUUGGAAAGUUUCGGCGGUUGGGGAUGGACUCGCGGCUUAUCAGCUUGUUGGUGGGGUAGUGGCUUACCAAGGCUUUGACGGGUAGCCGGCCUGAGAGGGUGACCGGCCACAUUGGGACUGAGAUACGGCCCAGACUCCUACGGGAGGCAGCAGUGGGGAAUAUUGCAGAAUGGGCGGAAGCCUGAUGCAGCAACGCCGCGUGCGGGAUGACGGCCUUCGGGUUGUAAACCGCUUUCGCCUGUGACGAAGCGUGAGUGACGGUAAUGGGUAAAGAAGCAACGGCUAACUACGUG
RNAcentral lists this ribosomal RNA (468 nucleotides) under uncultured bacterium. Its description in RNAcentral is "partial 16S ribosomal RNA". It matches the Rfam family "Bacterial small subunit ribosomal RNA", at positions 28 to 507 of the family's 1533-position model. The record is from RNAcentral.